Molecule: long non-coding RNA, 685 nt
Organism: Mastomys coucha (southern multimammate mouse)
Lineage: Eukaryota; Metazoa; Chordata; Mammalia; Rodentia; Muridae
Exons: 2
Source: RefSeq, a predicted model, not a curated record
AGAGGAGCAAAGAGUGAUAAAACAAAAGGAAGGCUCAUCUCACGAGUAACGAGGCCUCUAUGGUCCAUGGGCAGCCUCUUAAUUCUGUCAUCCACACUGGAGAGAAUGCUGACAGUCGUCAUGGGUGAACAUGUAAAACCUUCCAUUCCCACGGCAAACAGCAUUCGAAGGAAGAGAUGUACAAUUAAGUAAAGAAGUCACCACGCUUUCUCCAGCAUUCAUGACUGGGAUUCGAAUGAGGUGGAGCACUUGAGAUAUUUCUAUCCCAACUUCCUCUGCCCAGUAAUGACAUUAAACAAAACAAAUUAUUGCAAUUAAACAGAGAGAUGGCAAUGGUGGCCUGGAAAGAGACGUGGACUGGGAAAUUAAGAUGUGAUCCGGCUUCGUUUUACGUAGGAGAGCUUGUUAGCAAACGCUCAGAUCUAACGACUACAAGCUGCGAGCAUCUUCUAAUUAGUCCUGGCUGUUCUCAGGAAAACAAAGUAAAAUAUGGAGUCUCUUAAAAUGGGCCUCUUUGGCUAACUUGUCCCUGAGCAGACAGACAUUAAUAAAUGCUCUCAGUUCCUUGUGACACUUUCCUUUCGUGAAGAAAUUGGCUAUAGAGCUGCCAGACCUAGUAAAACAAAACAGAACUCUAAAAGCAAUUUAUAUUCUCGUUUCUUCCAUUAAAAAGAAGUUCCUUGUA